Nerophis ophidion (straightnose pipefish) is the source of this 566-nucleotide long non-coding RNA. RefSeq lists it as uncharacterized. NCBI's taxonomy places the organism in Eukaryota, Metazoa, Chordata, Actinopteri, Syngnathiformes, Syngnathidae. The record is from RefSeq and is a predicted model, not a curated record. The transcript is spliced from 3 exons.
CUAUCAGGUAGCAGGUGUGGACGCCUGUGCACAGAAAGAGAAAGUCAAUUUACACAAUAAGGACACAGGACAAGGACUAAAAUACCACACGGAGGGAUAUAACAAAUAUACCGUGUUUUAGUGAGAUUGUAAAGACAUACCUCAAAGUCGGAUGGCUGUGGUGAACACGCCAGCGUCUCAGAGAGAAGCCGAGGAGCCAAACUCACAGCUGCCUUUUUUGACAGGUACUGCAGGAGGACGCAUUAUCCACUGAUGUCUCCGCAUUUGCAUCCAUCUAUGAGCAGACUUGGUAACACCAGCUUUAGCCUGAGUGUAAACAGCAGACGGACGGAUUUACAUGAACUCCAGGACUGAGACUGAGACUCCACACUCCUGCAGGGAGAUCUGAAAUGCAGCCAAGAAGCUUUUUCAAUGUUAACCAAGAGGCUGUCCUUCACUGAUACAAAUAUGCUAGUAUUGAUUCUAAAAUCUUUUGUCAUGUGACCGCACUCCAUGGCCACAACAGUCAAGGUGAACCAUUUAUUUACUGUGCUUCUACUCAAAAACACUGUUUUCUGACGUGGACA